AUUGCACGCUGGCGGCAGGCCUAACACAUGCAAGUCGAGCGAGCGGCGGACGGGUGAGUAAUGUCUGGGAAACUGCCUGAUGGAGGGGGAUAACUACUGGAAACGGUAGCUAAUACCGCAUACCAUCAGAUGUGCCCAGAUGGGAUUAGCUAGUAGGUGGGGUAAUGGCUCACCUAGGCGACGAUCCCUAGCUGGUCUGAGGGGAUGACCAGCCACACGGGAAGUGGGACACGGUCCAGACUACAACGGGAGGCAGCAGUGGGGAAUAUUGCAGAAUGGGCGCAAGCCUGAUGCAGCAAUGCCGCGGGUGUGAAGAAGGCCUUCGGGUUGUAAAGCACUUUCAGCGGGGAGGCGUUACCCGCAGAAGAGGCACCGGCUAACUCCGUGCCAGCGGCCGCGGUGAUUC
RNAcentral lists this ribosomal RNA (406 nucleotides) under uncultured bacterium. Its description in RNAcentral is "partial 16S ribosomal RNA". It matches the Rfam family "Bacterial small subunit ribosomal RNA", at positions 29 to 526 of the family's 1533-position model. The record is from RNAcentral.